RNAcentral lists this ribosomal RNA (490 nucleotides) under uncultured bacterium. Its description in RNAcentral is "partial 16S ribosomal RNA". It matches the Rfam family "Bacterial small subunit ribosomal RNA", at positions 30 to 507 of the family's 1533-position model. The record is from RNAcentral.
AUUGAACGCUGGCGGCAUGCUUUACACAUGCAAGUCGAACGGCAGCGGGGUAGUGCUUGCACUACUGCCGGCGAGUGGCGAACGGGUGGGUAAUAUAUCGGAACGUACCGAGUAAUGGGGGAUAACCAAUCGAAAGAUUGGCUAAUACCGCAUACGUCCUGAGGGAGAAAGCGGGGGAUCGCAAGACCUCGCGUUAUUCGAGCGGCCGAUAACUGAUUAGCUAGUUGGUGGGGUAAAGGCCUACCAAGGCGACGAUCAGUAGCGGGUCUGAGAGGACGAUCCGCCACACUGGGACUGAGACACGGCCCAGACUCCUACGGGAGGCAGCAGUGGGGAAUUUUGGACAAUGGGGGCAACCCUGAUCCAGCCAUGCCGCGUGUAUGAAGAAGGCCUUCGGGUUGUAAAGUACUUUUGUUAGGGAAGAAAAGGGAAGUGCUAAUACCACUUUUUGCUGACGGUACCUAAAGAAUAAGCACCGGCUAACUACGUG